UGAAGCCCUUAUGGAAAGCAGCUGACCCAAGGCACUGAAGGGUCCAACUGGUAAAACCGCCUGCUUUCACCGCCUGUCCUGGGGCUGUGUUGACUUCUGCAGCGCAGGUCCUUCAUUUUUACACAAAGGGGAGCAAAUACACAGUUCACCGUAAAUAUACGCAACAUUCAACAUAGUGUGAGUUAUGCCUACUUUACCUUGGUAUAACUGUGACCGCAUCAGGGAGUUUCAACAUGGCAGUGAAUGCACCGCGAGAAAAAGGUUUGGGACAAUUUUAAACGCAAUUUAGAAAGAAUUCUCCCAAUUCCAAUUAAAGCUUGCUUAAAAUAUUUGAUAGUGUCAUUAAAUCCAGCCUAAUGCACCAAGUGGUAUUGAGGUACGUGGUUCACUCGGCCAUCAUACUUUUCAUGUAGACGUUAGCAGAUACGUUUUACACAAACACAGGGAAAAACACUAGCAAAUGUGGGUGAAGAGUCAGACCCACUGAUAGUUAACAUUCAAAAGUGAGCACUCAGUGUUUUUAAUUAUCCCAGAUCACCCGCCAAAACAAAAGAGCUGAGCCCAGACAACAGUUCCCCACAUCAGAUAUCACUUGAAGAACCCUGUUGGAAAUAUUGGAACGAUAGAAACUAAAAUCCAAAGUAGAUUAAAAAGAGAUUAUGAGCGACCAGAAUAUCUCCCUCCUGUCAGAUAGCAGAGAUAAAUCCUGACCAAGUGCAGCCUCGGUGGCCAAAAAACUGGCUGUUGUAAAAAGGGAUGACAACAAGAAACACGGCAACCAAAAGACAAACAGAAUAAAUGGUCAAUGUUCAACAGGUGAGGCUGAGACAAAAGGUGCUCUUAUUUCUAAUCACUUUGACAAUUUCAACUUGGUCUGUUCUGUGCUCAUUAUAUUGCUUGUCAGCCUGUCCAAUGGGACGGAUCCCUCCUGAGUUGUUCCUUAUUUAGGACAGAGGGUGUCUUACACUUUACCUAUACGUUGUAAAGCCCCCUGAAACGCUGUGAUUUCUGAUUUUGGGCUAUAUAAAAAUAAAAGUGACUCGUUUAGACCUCAGCAAUUGUCGCAUCUUCAAGUCUUUUUUGUGUAUAUGUGUCAUAAAAUGAAAAGUUCACAUCAAAUCAUGUCCUUGUAUCAGACAUUCUGUCACUGAAAUGUAUGAUUUGUGAUUUUUGAAUGAAUGUGUGAUUUUUGUCACUCUAUUCUGUACAUGUGGCAUCUACUGCAUGUCCUGGGAGAGGGAUCCCUCUUCUGUGCGGCUCUCCUCGAGGUGUCUUCUAUCCUCUUUUUUUCCCCUCCGUUAAAAAGUUUUUCAUCUAAGAACAGUGGAUGUGGUUCACUGUACAGAUUGUAAACCCAACUGAAGAAAAAGUUGCUAUGCAAAAAUGGAUCUGAUAUCUGUCAAAAUAGCUGCAGUGUGAUCUUUUGACCAUAUUCGCACGCAUUUUGACACUUCGGCAACGUUGCCCCUGACGUUUUAAUGCAGAUAAAACCCAUUUCAAUUGAACUGACACACACACACGCGCACACACACACACACACACACACACAAAGUCACAUAUAGGUGAACAGUAAAUUUAGGCAGCUCUUACUGAGAGGAUUUGCUGAAUUUUGAACAACUGUUAAUAAUAUUGCUGUUUAGGUGUCCAAAUAUUAUGUUGCCUUAGAAUUUCCUUUUAGCUUGAUUUAGUUAUUUCCAGGCUAAUAAAGUCCUUAAAUUGUAUCUUCAAAAAAAAAGAAAGAAAAGAAAGAAAGAAGAAGAAAAAAGAGAGAGUGAAAGGGAGAGAGAGAGAGAGAGAGAGCGCGCGCAGGGGGUCCUUGGGACUCUCCCGGUUGACAGCUCCUGUCUCUGCCUGUAACGACUUAUUUAUUCAGGGAUAAUUAAUCAGGCGCAGUUUUGUGCGGGAUGAUUAAUGCGCUUUGUCAUCUGUACUGCAGCGGUGAGAACACAGUACAGUGUGCCUCAGCUGCCUCUGAUGUAAAGGGGACGUCCUGUCCACAGAGCAGUGAGAGGAGAGGAGAGGAGCUCGGCGCUGCUGCUGCAUGAUGGAGGCCUUCUCUUCCCAACUGAGGAUCUGCUGCUUUCACCACGCUGGGACCACUGAGGGAGGUCUGCUGCUGCUGCUGCUGCCCAUCUGAUAAGACCUGAGAAAGUCUCCAUUAUUAUAUUCCCGUCUCUCUGGUGGAUUUAUGUGUUCGGUCAGUCAGCGGCUUUCACGUCUCCACCGGCCUGUCGAGGGAAGACGUGGCCGGGGCAAGCGCUUCUUCCUGCGGUCACGCUGGUCUCACGACGCCACCUGGUGACCGGCGUUGUUACUACAAGUCUGAGGAACUAAACUACCGCCCGUUAUGUAUACGCUUUCUGUGGGUUAUGAGGUGUUCUGAUAAAACCGUGAUAAAAAAAAAAAAUAAAAUAAAAAAAAACUUUUUGUUAUAAUAGCCUUAACACAUUUACCGCCAGUAAGUACACCAUGUCAAAUGAAUCACUGCUGAAUGGACAGAAUUUUACACAGUUUUCACAGAAAAGCUUUGUUUGAGGAGCUUCAAGUAAAAAAUGUAAAGUGAUGAAGCAAGAGGUAAAGCAGCUUAAUACAUGGUAAAAACACAGCAACCUGUUUAAGGCACUGAGUAUCCAAUGUGUUUGGCCUGAUCAUGGCUUUUCUUGAUAAGACAGCAUUGAGAAGUGACAGGAGGCAGGAUGGAGGGGGGUGGCAUGCAGCAGACUCAAACCAGCGAGGACACAGCCUCUGUACAUGGGGCACCUGCUGCACCAACUGAGCUACCGGGGCACCCAGGGGAUCAUUUUAGAGUCGCACACUUGAUCCAGGCUGAUCAAGUGCAGAUCAACAGGUUUUGGACCCGAAAGCAGGUGACAGGAGAGGCUUCCAUGAUUUAAUGCAGAACCUUACAAGCAGACCAGUAGGCAGGCAGGCAGGCAGGAAAGUGGACAGAAAACAGGUCUCAAUAUCAAAAAACCCAAAUACUGAAAACAGUAGCAGCAGGGAUAAGGUGAAACAGGUGUGUGGAGCUUUUUCACAGCAGCCAUUUUGACAUCAAGCAGCAGGGGUAAACACAGGUGUAACCAAUGAUACUAACAGAGAUUGUGUUCCAUUCUGCAUAAACAGAGUCACGGUGCCGCUGUUGUGCAUGUUGGCUCAUCAGAAAAGUCUCCGCUACACUAACUGGAACUGAACCUUCAUCGAUUGUCAUCAAUCAAACCUGAGUUUGCCUUCUGUUUCAUGUCAAGAUGGCUGCCGUGAAAAAGGUACUGGGAUUGCACCUGAGGGGGCGUGUCCUGUCAGACAGGAGCAGUUUUCAACGCCAUCUAUUUUUCUUUCUUUUUUUUUUUUUUUCAUCUUUUCUCUGAUGAUGUCACUAUGAUGAUGGCAACGCUAGCAACCGAUAUUAAACUAUUAAU
Molecule: long non-coding RNA, 3416 nt
Organism: Acanthopagrus latus (yellowfin seabream)
Lineage: Eukaryota; Metazoa; Chordata; Actinopteri; Spariformes; Sparidae
Exons: 4
Source: RefSeq, a predicted model, not a curated record